GUGGGGAAUAUUGGACAAUGGGCGAAAGCCUGAUCCAGCCAUGCCGCGUGUGUGAAGAAGGUCUUCGGAUUGUAAAGCACUUUAAGUUGGGAGGAAGGGCAGUAAGUUAAUACCUUGCUGUUUUGACGUUACCGACAGAAUAAGCACCGGCUAACUUCGUGCCAGCAGCCGCGGUAAUACGAAGGGUGCAAGCGUUAAUCGGAAUUACUGGGCGUAAAGCGCGAGUAGGUGGUUUUGUAAGUUGGAGGUGAAAUCCCCGGGCUCAACCUGGGAACUGCCUCCAAAACUGCAUGACUAGAGUACGGUAGAGGGUAGUGGAAUUUCCUGUGUAGCGGUGAAAUGCGUAGAUAUAGGAAGGAACACCAGUGGCGAAGGCGACUACCUGGACUGAUACUGACACUGAGGUGCGAAAGCGUGGGGAGCAAACAGGAUUAGAAACCCGAGUAGUCC
RNAcentral lists this ribosomal RNA (450 nucleotides) under uncultured bacterium. RNAcentral describes it as "partial 16S ribosomal RNA". It matches the Rfam family "Bacterial small subunit ribosomal RNA", at positions 354 to 796 of the family's 1533-position model. The record is from RNAcentral.